AUCUAGCUGCUGCUGGCUCCAGCGGCCGCCGCUGCCCGGCCAAGUGGAGAGGACGGAAGGGGCUGGUGGAGAGCAGAGCGGGGACUCGGCGCCUGCGACGGGGGCACCGGGGGCGCGAGCUGCUCCCGCUUUGCUCAAGUUUUUAAUUCCCACGGCUUUGGUGAAGCCCCCCAGGUGCUCAAGCGCGGAGUUUUGCUCCUGGUCUCAGUGUAUGCCCAGUUCACUCAGGUUUAUUCAUUGUAAUAGGGAAAGGAUUUAAAGAAAGUUAAGGAAGAGCUGAUCUGUAAGGAGCGCAAGGGUUGGCCAGC
This 308-nucleotide long non-coding RNA is filed under the name Cavia porcellus (domestic guinea pig). RNAcentral describes it as "lncRNA (ENSCPOG00000038772.1)". The record is from RNAcentral. Lineage: Eukaryota; Metazoa; Chordata; Mammalia; Rodentia; Caviidae.